UGCAGCUGUGUCAAAUUCAGCACCUGCCCCCUUUCAUGGCAAGAGCUGGCCCAAACAGCUGCCACAGCAACACUGUAGCUCAUGGGCCCCAAGUCCCUCUCCCUGGGGCUCGGGGAUAAAAUUUUGCUGCAGACAUUG
Monodelphis domestica (gray short-tailed opossum) is the source of this 138-nucleotide small nucleolar RNA. Lineage: Eukaryota; Metazoa; Chordata; Mammalia; Didelphimorphia; Didelphidae. The record is from Ensembl.